This 276-nucleotide long non-coding RNA is filed under the name Mytilus galloprovincialis (Mediterranean mussel). The record is from RNAcentral. Lineage: Eukaryota; Metazoa; Mollusca; Bivalvia; Mytilida; Mytilidae.
ACACAUUAUUUGUCGGCGAUUUUUUGUAUAAAGCUUGCGGUUUAACAAAUUGAAAAUUGCUGUCAUGAACAGUAAUGAUGAAAAUAAGUUUGAGAUCGUUUAUUAGGAAACUUUGGUAAAAAAAAAUUAUUUUUUUAUUUUCUUUCAAGGUCCGUCGGGCAUGUCGGGCGUUGCUAGUAACCAAGUAGAAAGUCCGACUGCAAAAGUGGAAGGUCGCAGACCUCGGACCACCGCUAAUUUGAACCCCUGCGUCCAAAUUGAAAAGAUACAAAAUUU